GUACUCGCUUCAGCAACACAUAUACUAAAAUGGGAAUGAUACAGAGAAGAUGAGCAUGACCCCUGCACAAGGAUGACAUGCAAAUUCAUGAAACAUUCCAUUUUUUU
This 107-nucleotide small nuclear RNA is filed under the name Cercocebus atys (sooty mangabey). Lineage: Eukaryota; Metazoa; Chordata; Mammalia; Primates; Cercopithecidae. The record is from RNAcentral.